AUUGAACGCUGGCGGCAGGCCUAACACAUGCAAGUCGAACGGUAACAGGAAGCAGCUUGCUGCUUCGCUGACGAGUGGCGGACGGGUGAGUAAUGUCUGGGAAGCUGCCUGAUGGAGGGGGAUAACUACUGGAAACGGUAGCUAAUACCGCAUAAUGUCGCAAGCCCAAAGAGGGGGACCUUCGGGCCUCUUGCCAUCGGCUGUGCCCAGAUGGGAUUAGCUUGUUGGUGGGGUAACGGCUCACCAAGGCGACGAUCCCUAGCUGGUCUGAGAGGAUGACCAGCCACACUGGAACUGAGACACGGUCCAGACUCCUACGGGAGGCAGCAGUGGGGAAUAUUGCACAAUGGGCGCAAGCCUGAUGCAGCCAUGCCGCGUGUAUGAAGAAGGCCUUCGGGUUGUAAAGUACUUUCAGCGGGGAGGAAGGGAGUAAAGUUAAUACCUUUGCUCAUUGACGUUACCCGCAGAAGAAGCACCGGCUAACUCCGUG
Molecule: ribosomal RNA, 490 nt
Filed under: uncultured bacterium
Lineage: Bacteria
Description: partial 16S ribosomal RNA
Rfam family: Bacterial small subunit ribosomal RNA
Source: RNAcentral